GCCGAUGUGAGAUUUGUAACAAACAUUUUGUGUCUUUAUUUUCCAUAUUGUGCUUUGGCCCUUCAGGUAUGACUGGAAAAAUACUUGUAAUUCUGUUGAUUGGUUUCUUGGCAUUUGCUUAUCAAGCAAUUAAGCCACCUCCUCCGAAAAUUUGUGGUUACCCAGGAGGCCCUCCCAUCACUGCACCACGAAUAAAACUCUCCGAUGGAAGGCAUUUGGCGUAUAAGGAACAAGGUGUUCCGAAAGAUGAAGCAAAGUACAAAAUUGUGUUCAUCCAUGGAUUUGAUUGUUGUAGACAUGAUGUUGUUAUUGCCAGCACACUUUCUCAUGUAAUCCACUUGUUACCUUCUCUUUUCUCGCGAUCUUGUAGGCAGGGGGUGGAGGCGUGGAGCUAGGUAGGAAUAAGAAAUCGAGGUUCAAUUGUGUAUCCUAUUCAUCAAAAAAUUAUACUAUGUUUUGAAAAUAUUCUAGUGCAAUGGCAAAGGGGUCUAAAGAUGUGACAUUGUAGUUAGUUUCAUAAAUUCCUGAUUCCGACACCGUAGUUAUAGGUCACUAUAGAAUUUGUUUGUCGCUAAUUCUUAUGAUGGUGCAGGAUGUUAUUGAGAGUUUGGGAAUAUACAUUGUUUCGUUUGAUCGACCAGGUUAUGGGGAAAGUGAUCCUCAUCCACAACGAACGCCUAAGAGCUUAGCUCUCGAUGUUGAGGAGCUAGCUGAUCAAUUGAAAUUGGGAUCCAAAUUCUAUGUAACAGGAUUUUCCAUGGGUGGACAAGCAGUUUGGGGCUGUCUUAAAUAUAUUCCUCAUAGGUAAUGUAUCGGAAAUAGUCUCUCUACCUCUGAGGUCUGCGUACAAUCUACUCUUCCUGGACUCCACUUUAUGGGACUACGUUGUGUAUGUUGUUGUAAUAGAUGCUAUUUUGUCUGCAAAUUGUGUCAACUCACAUAACAAAUGUGUAACAGAUUGGCGGGAGCAGGGCUUCUAGCGCCUGUGGCUGGCAUAUGGUGGCCGGGUUUUCCUGCAAAUUUGACAGGAAAAUCAUACUACGAUAUGCCAGCCCCGGAUCUAUGGACAGUUCGAGUUGCUCACUAUCUUCCUUGGCUGACUUAUUGGUGGAACACUCAGAAGUUUUUCCCUUCUUCUAGCGUUGCAGCUCACAGCCCCAAUAUCUUUUCAACUGAGGACAGACAAUUAGCCCCGAGGUUUGAUGCCUCGCAAGAACCUUAUCGGGUGAGAACUUGAUUGUGUUAAUCUUGUUAGUAUAAUGUAGUACACAAGUUUAUAAUGAAUAGCUAUCGCGUAGUUGUAACAAGACUUCAAAUUAAUGCUCGAGUGUACGUUCCCCUUCUCUCGUGCCCUCAUUUUCCAUUGUUCGUUCAUUUGAAAAAAAGAACAUAAUAUAUGUUAAGGGAGAGCUUGAUGUUAAGUGCCUUUCUGAAACGACUUCCAAAAGUGUGUUGUUAACUGUGUCCCUCUAUCUGAAAUAAUGGAGACGGGCGUCCCAUGUAGUCUGUCUAUCUCCUUUAUGUACAACUUUGCAUAAUGUUCCGCAGUGUCAGUACUAAAAAAGCUAUUUCUAGUGUGCUAUAUUUGCUUGAUGUACAUUCUAUAUACUCUGUUAUUUUUAAAUUUUCUGUAUAUAACUGUAUAUUUUUAGUAUAUUACAUGUUUGAGUAUCGAAAAAAUGUUCAUUCAUGGCCUCAGGCACAAAUUAGACAACAAGGGGAGUUCGAGUCCAUCCAUCGUGACAUGAUAAUUGGAAUUAAGACAUGGGAAUUCGACCCUAUGGAUCUCAAGGACCCGUUCCCUAACAAUGAAGGCUUUGUUCACAUAUGGCAAGGGGAUGAAGACGGUCUUGUACCAGUCGUUCUGCAACGAUAUGUUGCAGAACGACUACCUUGGGUUCGAUAUCACGAACUUAAAGGUAGUGGUCACAUGUUUCCUUAUGCAGAUGGAAUGGGAGAUAAGAUUUUGAAGACAUUCCUACUUGGAGAGACCUUCGUUCUAUAAAUGUCUAUGCUGCUCGAACUCGUCAAAAAAUAUCUUUGAACAUGUGUCGGAUCAUCCAAAAUGAAUGUAUUUUUGGAGAAUCUGACACAAAUGCGACAAUAUUCUUUAAGGGUUCGAGCAACAUAGAUUAAAGUUCUCAUAACAAAUGUUCUUGCAAUUUAUAUGUACUCUAUUUGAAAAUUUAUUUUUUUUUGUUCUAUAUUUCAUUGUAUUGAGAUUUAGUCUCUAAUUCAAACAUCUUAUAAUUGAUAAAAUAAAAUUCAAUCACAUCGGAUUCGAUUUUUUAAUUUGAAUAAGUAUUGAUUUUCUCAAUCAAACUAUUAUAUAGUCAUAUUUUUUUUUAUAAUAAAUUAUCGUCCUAUGCACGUAAACAAAUAUUAAAAAUAGUAAAUGCAGAUAAAUCCAUAAGUAACUUAGUUUUACAAAGCUUUUCCGCAUUAGCAGAGUCGAUGAAACAACUUGUGAAGUAGACAAACAGUCUAUUCUGAUGUACUCACUGGUUGAAUAUGAAAUUUGGGUUGAAAACAACUUUAGACUAGGCAAUAUUUACUAACGUCAAUUCGAAAUAAGAAUUAAAAAUAUCAUCGUGUACACAAUUCUAAUCUUGAACGUACACGUAUAUCAAUAUAAUUGUGACAACAUACCGAUAUCGGUUUCAAUAAAUGUUAUCCCUCCGUCCCUAUUUAGUUGUGCACUUUAGAAAUGACAUACAGAUUAAGGCAACAAUAAUUUGCAUAGUGAAGUUACAAUUUUAUCCUUAUAGUACAAUUUACUUCCAAAAUAAAUUCACUCAAGAUAACUAAUCAAUGCUGAAAAGUUUAUAAGUUUAUUUACUUUAUUUAUGACAACUUUUCCCUUUAAAUAAGGGUAUAAUAGGAAAAAAAUUAUUGUCCUUUCUUGAUUUGUCAAAAUUGACAACUAAAUAAGGACAACUAAAUAGGGACGGAGGGAGUAGUAUAAGCCAACAAAUCUACAGGAAAACCCAACUUGACGAUGAAAACGAGGCACGACUUUGUUUGAAGCAGCCUUAAUAACCUAUAGACAGGGGCGGAGCAAGAGUGAUAGUUACGCGUUUAAUAGACUUCAAUAAUUUUAGUUUAAAUUUUAUGUAGAUUGGGGUGAAAUAAACUCAUUUGAAUUUUAUUAGUUUGCGUUUGAAAUUCUACUUAUUUGAUUUAUUGAGUUAUAAUUUAUUUUAAAUACUAAUUUAUAAAUUCUUUAAUCAUAUAAUACGUGUUUAAAUUAAAACUAUUGAAUUCAAAUGAGCUCGAAAUUAAUGUACUUAGGUAGGUCCCCCCUUGCCUGGGCAAGUUAUAAAUAGGGUUGGCGGCUAGUGUAUUUAUUUCGUCAUUUAAUAUUAUAAUAAAUAAAUAUUUGUUUCAAAUCAAACAAUUAAUUCUGCAUAUAAAAUAUAUUUUUUAAAAUAAAAAUAAUAUUGUGUAUAUUAUGCUACAAGAAGAUAUACUUUUUAAAUUCCCAAACCUUUAAUGCUAGCUGUCGUAGCCUGCCAAUUAAUUAAGUUGAGAAUUAUUGUUUCUCUUUUUGUUUUGGUCUCUCUCUUGUUAUUAUACUAGAUAAUGUUGUCCGUGCUAUGCACGGGUCGAAUAAUAUAAAUAGUAUAUUUUGAGGCUAAUAACGGAGUUUUUGAAGCGACUGUUUGCGUAGAUAAAGGAAUAAGUUUUUUUAUUACAAACAUGUACUUUCUUUGACGCUAUUUAAGAAAUAAUAAGACUACCCACAUAUAAUAUUUUUGAAAUAUUUUAUGUUGUCAAUUAUCAUGAUUUAUAGUAUUUUUACGAUAAAUUCACUUCAAGAAUUAGUGGAAAUUUUUGUGUUUUUUUCAAAACAUAUUUGAUGUUGUCAAUUAUCAUGAUUUAUAGUAUUUUUACGCAAUUUUUAAAUAUAAAAAACACAAAAAAAAAAAAUAAGACGAAUAAAUUAAAAUGGACCCAAUAUAUGUUAUUUUUGUUGUCUCAAUUUAUGUGACACAAAUAAAAUUUGGAGAGUCAUCCAAAUUUUCAUAUUUUUUUUAAAAAUGUUUUAAGUUAUUAAUUAUUGUGAGUUAUUAAACUCCCUUUUAUUAUAUAGUAGAAUAUAAUAUAUAUAUAUAUAUAUAUGUCAUAAAUAAAAAAGUCCCAAUCUUGAAUAUUAUAUAUUAUACUUGGACCUAAACUCCCUUUUAUUAUAUAGUAGAAUAUAAUAUAUAUAUAUAUAUAUAUGUCAUAAAUAAAAAAGUCCCAAUCUUGAAUAUUAUAUAUUAUACUUGGACCUAAACUCCCUUUUAUUAUAUAGUAGACAAAAUAUAUAUAUAUGUCACAAAUGGAAAAGUCCCAAUGUUGAAUAUUAUAUAUUAUACUUGGGCCUAAACUCCCUUCUAUUAUAUAGUAGAACUUAUUAUUUGAUUUGAUAUUAUUAUUCUUUUUAUAAUCAUCUGAUAUUUGAAAUUUAACAUUGAAUUUUAAUUUGCCUUGUUUAAGAGCAAAACGAUUUUUAGGUCAUCAUUUAGAUAUUGUUCUUCUAAACAAUAUUGUCCAACUUUAUAGACAAAAAAUUAGGUUGUUGUCUAAUAUUAGUAAUAACUUACAACAUUGUCGAUCAUGAUUAAGCAUUUUCUUAUAAGAAAUUUAAUUUAUUUAUAGUGAAAUGAUGAAUUUAUUUCCUCGUCUUGUUGAGUAUGUAUUGAAGACUUAGUCUUCGAUACACGAUUGAAAAUCCUCAAUUUCUGACUGCUAAAAAGGGAAAAGGACGAAGAAAAAAAAAAGACAAAGUAAGGAUCAUAAAUACGAUAUUUGAAUUAAUAGAAAACUUUUUCUUUGAUAUGAAUUUUUAAAAAAUGGGAAAAAAAAGAAGCUAAAAAGGACGUCCCCUUCCACACACACAAUUAUAUAAACACACAAAAGAUAUAGAAAUCAUUUAAGAGUUUCCAAAAAAAAGUUUGAAAAUUAAAUUGAAGUUUGAGGUUUUUGUUUGUUGUUUCAAGUUCGUGAAUCUAAAAGUUAGUUAUGAAAAUAUCCUAUAGGAUAUAUGCGUUACUUUCUGCGGUUGAUCGAAAAGAAUCUAAAGGUUCGUUUUUGUUAUUACUUAUUCUCUAGCUACUUAAAUUUAUCUUUUUUUUUUGUGAAUCAAAGUGUUUGCAAUAAUUAUAUUUGAUAUAUUUAUAUAAUUAUUAUUCAAUAAUGAAGUGAUUUGUUGUCAAACUUUAUAUAUUUUCUAAUUAUGUUAUUUUGGCACUUGUUAGAUUUCAAUAUAAUCAAUUACUUAGAUACACUUUAAUUUAUAAUAUUAUGACUUCUAUCAGAUUUUGGUGCAUUCAGAUACGUCUAGGUUCAUGUAUCUCGGAAUACAUGGAGUCAAAAUUAGGUGUAGUUUGUUCUUAGAUACACUGUAUCCAAACGAAUUCGCAUGUAUCUGAGAUUCAUAACAAAUCCCGCUCCACAUCUCUCCCAUCUCGAUCGCCACUCUCCUAUGUAUCUGAGAUACAUGACUAUCUCGCUGGCCUCUCUCCCUAUUUUAAUUUAUCUGGUAGCAAAAAAAAUAAAUAUCUAGGUGUAUCUUAUGUAAUAUAUAAUAGGAAAUUCUUAAUUAGUGAUAAGAUAUGUAAUUAUUUGAGAUAUAGGUCUAAUUAGGUAGUUUUCAGUAUAAUUAGGAAAUUUUUUAACUAAUGUGCUUUAGAAAAAUUAAAAGAAAUUGCUAAAUUAAAAAAAAUGUUUCUUAAUUAACCAAAUCUAUUUUGUAUUUUGUGUGUACGGCUAAUAAUGGUCAAAACAAAAUCAAUUGCAAAUUUUUGUGACGUAGUCCAACAUUUUUUUACAAGAUUUAUAUUCUUAAGUCACAAGAGAAAUAUAAAAAAAAAACUAAUUUACUAAAUACUAUCUCAAAAAAAAUCGACAAAAAAUUCAUAAUUUAAAUUAAUCAAACCAUAAAACAGAUCGAGCCAUAAGCCGAAAAAUAAAAAAUAAUAGUGUGUAGCAUAUUAUUUUAGGGUUUGGAAAGAUUUUGUCAUGACAAUAAAAUCCAACAUGUGUUCCAUACUCAAGACAUAUAUUCUUUAUCUGUCAUAUUUAAUUCUCCUAAAAAUUGGAUUAUAGUGGACAAUGAUAUGAUUUAUUUAUAUUUAUAUAAUAAUAUAAUUAAAUAAAAUAUAUUUUAUUGUAUAUCAGAAGAGUUUUCAAAAGCAUGAGAAAUCUGCAAAUCAUCUACAAGUUGUGUUACUUUUUUUAAUGUCACAUAUUGUGUAAAAUAAUCAAAUGUAAAUGUCAGAAAAUGUCUAGAAAGUAGAAAGCAUUGGAAAAAAGAAACAUAAUUAAAGACAAAAUGAAAAAGAGGUAAAAAGCAUAUUUGACUUGAUGUUAAAUUGUGAUAAAAUGGUUAGUACUCAUUCAUUUUUAAUCAAAAGUCUCAAAUUCAUAUCUUCUCAUAUAUAGAGUUAUAUUUAUUAGAGAGUGCUUUAUUCCUUAACGUAGAACUUCUCAGUACAAAUCAAAAUUUAAUCGAACUUCAAUAUAAUCAUUAAACACCGAGUACAAUUGAACCAUCUUUUGAGUUAAAAUUCAAAAAAUAAAAUAGUGAAACCAAAGUCUUGAAGUGGCGGCUUAGAGAUGCCGGCCCAAUGCCAUAAUCAAUAUAAAGUUUAAUCAUUUCCAUAAUGACGUCUACAUAUAACAUAGAAAUAUUUGACAUAUUUAAAUACUUAACAAUUACUAGUAAUAUAUUAUUUUUUACUAGAGCGACGUUUCGGUCGGUUUAUUUUGAUUUUAUAGUUUAUUGAUUUAAUUUAGCGGUUAUUAAAUUGCUAUACAAUCUUUAAGAUAUUGAUUUAUCGAUCGUUGCUAUUGAUAGUUAUCGGUUUAACCGUUCAGAUUUGACAUAAAAAAAGUCACUAAAAAACGCUUAGAAAUAAGAUGGAAAGCCAAAUGAACAAUGCACAAGAAUUGAGAGAUUGUAUCUUGCUCAAAAGCAAAUACUAACACAUUGUAGAAUAAUCAAGAACUUGAGAGACUACAAAAAAAUAAAAGUAUGAAACUAAACUCUUAAUCAAAGACUUUAUAUACUGAAUGACAUAAAUAUAAUUUAUUAAUUUACUAUCGAAAUAUCAAUUAACUCAUUAAGAAAAUUUUCAAACCAUUAAGAAUCGAUAAUCUAAUAAUAAAAAAAUUAAAACUAUUACCGAAACCGCUAAAUCAAUAACUCAGGGUCCUUUGAGAGUACUACAUUCUUCUUCAUUCUCAAGAGUAAUCCAUUAAAUAAGAUUUCCUAUCUAAAAGUGGGAUCUUCUUUGGUAACCAAAGGGCAGAGUGCACAUGGUGUUGGCCAAAUUUAUUAUGUUUUAAUUUAUGUGCUAUUUAUUUAUUAUCGAGAUCAAAUUUUAUAAUUUUUAGUUAAUAUUUUUUUAAAAUAAAUUGAGUUAAUAAAUAAAUAAAUUAUUGACCCGAUAAGUUGACCUUAUGUCGUGUUUCAUGGGUUAAUUUUAUCAGUCACAACUCACAAGUCCUAUGACCUUUUUAUUUAACGUGUUUCACAAUCAUAUCUCCAAAGCAUGUUAAUCUCUCUAUGGUUUGAAUGAAAAUAGUCUAAGAAUAAUGAAAAAAAUAAAAUAAUUUUUGAAUUUUUGUGAUCCUUUAUAUUAGAAAAGUGUAAAACACGUUGAAUGAAAAGUACUCCAAAAUACUUCAAAAUAUGUGACACAUUAAUUAUGUUAAACGAAAAAUGAUUUCUAACACAAAUUAAUUUAGUCAAAUAUGAUUAAUAUAAUCGAUGAAUAUUAAAGAUUUAUAUAGUUAACUCUAAUUUUUCGUUGACAUGUAUACAUAAAACUAUUUAUUGCUUAUACAUCUACAUUUCAUUUAAUUACUACUAGACAUCUAAAUUUCAUUUAAGUAUUCAUCAUUAAAUUAAUAUCUCAAUUUGCGUGAUGAAGAAUUUCUUAAUUUGACUAGUACAAUUUUUUCCAAGGCCAAGUGGUCCAUAUAGCAUACUUCCCCAUUUUUUUAUGUUAUUUGAUUUGACAUGAUCAAUUAUUAUUAUUAUUUUAAAAAAAAAAGAAUUUUAAAAUUUUAUAAUCUCAAUUUAAAAAUAGCUAUAACAUAUUAAAACAUUAGUUGAAUCUUAUGAUUUUAACAUAUCAUGUGACCAAUAUGGAUUGUGGUGCACUGAUGAGAGUGUUUCACCCUUAAUCAGAGGUCUCGGAUUUGAGCCCUGAUUAUGGAUAAAAUCAUGUUGAGAGCAUCACCCCCAAAUAGGCCCUGCAAUGCCUAAUCCAAAUUUAGUCGAAGCCCCAAUGUGGACUCCAAACAUCGAGUGAGAAACCAAAAAAAACAUAUCAUGUGCAAUUAUUAUAAUUUAUAUUCCCUCUGUUCUUAAUUACUUGUCCACUUUUGAAUUGACACAUCUAUUACUAAAACAAUUAAUGACACAAUGAGAUUACUAUUUUAUUCCUAUUAAUUAUGAAGUGAUGAAUUAAAAACUUAAGAUUUUCAAGAAGUUCUAUCUUUUUCAAAGUAAUUAAUUGAGGGUAUAAUAAGUAAAAUUAUUUUAUUUCUUGAUUUUGUCAAAAUGAACAAGUAAUUAGGGACAACCAAAAAAGGAAAAGUGGACAAGUAAUUAAGGACAGAGGAAGUAACUUAGUACUCCUUCUGUCCCUAAUUACAUGUCCACUUUUGUUUUUAUAGUUGUCCCUAAUUACUUGUCCAUUUUGAUAAAUCAAGAAAGGACAAAAUAAUUUUACUUAUUAUACCCUCAAUUAAUUACUUUGAAAAAGAUAGAACUUCUUGAAAAUCUUAAGUUUUUAAUUCAUCACUUCAUAAUUAAUAGGAAUAAAGGGUACAAUGGUAAAUUCACUAUGUCAAUAAUUGAUUUCUUAAUAGGUGUGCUAAUUUAAAAGUGGACAAGUAAUUAAGGAAAGAGGGAGUAUUUGAAAACAUAAAUUUCAUAACCAAGAAAAUUUUUUAUCUCCUCAACCAAAAUUCAAAUAUUUAACUCUAAAAAUUCGACGUUUGCCUACAAUAAAUUGACACAAAAAAUAUUAAUUCACUUAAAAUAAAAAGCAAAAGACGUAAAUAAGUAAUAAUAAAUAAAAUAAAAUGCAUACAUUGAUAUUAUCACCCCCUCAUAUUCCUAGGUGAACCAACUGCAUAGUGCACAUGGGGUUACAACUGACAAGUGUAUAACAAGUUGACCUUGUAUUUAUUAGGGGCGGAUUCAAUAUCGAUUUUAUUUAAAUUAAUUAAAAUAUAAAAUAUAUCUUUUAUUAUUGAAAAUUAGGAAAUAAAUAUAUUUUCUUUAUUCUAAUUAAUAUGAUAAUAUUUGAUUGAACAUAUAUAAAGUUCACUUAAAAACAACUUUUCAAAUACAUGCUUUAAGAUAAGAGAAAGAUACUUUAUAGCUAUAAUGAGAAGUUUAAAAUUAAAUUAUUUUUAAAUUUAAAAAUAUAUCAUUCUAUUUAAGACAUACAAAAACAAAUAUAACAUUAGAUAAAUUUGGGAAAAAUCAGGGAGUAACAAUCAGUACUAUUUUUAUUUCAAUAUAUGAGAUACACUUACCUUGCUAUUUUGUUUUUAAAAAGAAAGAUAUCUUCCUGUAUUUAGAAAUAAUUAAUUCCUCUAUUCAAUUUAUAUAACGCUAUUCAGAUUUUGAGAGUCAAACAGUCUAAAUUUAAUCGUGAAUUCAAACAUAAAAAAUAUUAUAAAUUUUAAAAAUAUAUUAAAAAUUCUUAAAAGACGAAUUUAUAAAGUUAAAAUUCUGAAUCCGCCAAAUACAUGUCUAUUAGUCAAACCAUGUAGCUCUUCUCUCUUCUAGAUCUUUUAUAACUCCUAUAAAACAAGGGCAUCUACAAGAGUCACCACUAUUAUUUCACUAAGUUCACAAAAAUGGCAGAGUCCCCUACUACCUCAGGUUCUUUCUUCUUCAUUUUUUUCUUUUUUUUUUCUUCAUAUAUAUUUGAAAUGCUGCUAUAUUUUUAUUGGAGAAACAUAGUCUAAGCAUUUUUAUGUGGAAAAAACUUGUGAUUUUUUUUUUUUAUUUAGCUUUAGUUGUUGGUUGUAAUAUGUUUGAAUUAAUAAGAGGAAGGUCUUGUGUUGCAUCCCUCAAUUUGCUUCAAAGGAAAGUGUCUAGCGGUUAAUGAAAUGAGUGAAAAUUACGAGAAUUUGGUGUUUAAAAUUUCAGUGGAGACAAAAAUAUGUCAAGUCAAUAUCUUUUCAUAUGUCUAGAUCUUAGUAGUAACAUAUAUGAUAGUUGAGAUGCGAGCAAGGUGAUAAAAAAAUGUAAAUGCACAAAAUUCUUCUUGUUAUUUAAUUUUAGUAACGGUCACUUUGAACACCUAGACUAUUCUAUCGGGUACGUACUAUCUCUAGAUUAUCAGUACAUGUACCGAAUAACUCUAUCCUCCAAUAUUUAAUUAGUCAGAUGGAAAGAUAUGACCUUUUCAUUUUAUCUUUUUCGUCUGAUUCUUUAUUUAUCACUAGACCACACGUCUUUAAUGCCAAUGUCAAAAAUAGUUAUACUGGAGGUAGGUAAAACAUUUAUAACUGUCAUUCAUUCAAUUUAUUGCAAUCUUGAUGGAAUUGUUUCAUUUUUUUUUUAAUUUUGCUUAUUUAUGCAUUGUUAAUGAAAAUUUUAACUUGUUUUCUUGAUUUUUAGCUCUAAAAAUUAGUUACUAAAUUUGUAACCAUUUCAGGUAUGACUAGGAAAAUUCUUGUACUUUUCUUGAUUGGAUUGUUGGCAUAUGUUUAUCAAGCAAUUACACCACCUCCUCCGAAAAUUUGUGGUUCCCCCGGUGGCAAUCCCAUCACUGCACCACGAAUAAAACUCUUCGAUGGAAGGCAUUUGGCGUAUAAAGAGCAAGGUGUUUCGAAAAAUGAAGCAAAGUACAAAAUUGUGUUCAUCCAUGGAUUUGAUGGUUGUAGACAUGAUGUUGUUAUUGCCA
RNAcentral lists this long non-coding RNA (10925 nucleotides) under Solanum tuberosum (potato). Its description in RNAcentral is "long non-coding RNA (STUB_LNC008691)". The record is from RNAcentral. Lineage: Eukaryota; Viridiplantae; Streptophyta; Magnoliopsida; Solanales; Solanaceae.